Molecule: ribosomal RNA, 253 nt
Filed under: uncultured bacterium
Lineage: Bacteria
Description: partial 16S ribosomal RNA
Rfam family: Bacterial small subunit ribosomal RNA
Source: RNAcentral
UACGGAGGGUGCAAGCGUUAAUCGGAAUUACUGGGCGUAAAGCGUGCGUAGGCGGCUGCUUAAGUCAGAUGUGAAAGCCCCGGGCUUAACCUGGGAACGGCAUUUGAUACUGGGCAGCUCGAGUUGAGUAGAGGAGAGGGGAAUUUCCGGUGUAGCGGUGAAAUGCGUAGAGAUCGGAAGGAACACCAGUGGCGAAGGCGCCUCUCUGGACUCAAACUGACGCUGAGGUAAGAAAGCGUGGGUAGCAAACAGG